Molecule: ribosomal RNA, 495 nt
Filed under: uncultured Hydrogenophaga sp.
Lineage: Bacteria; Pseudomonadati; Pseudomonadota; Betaproteobacteria; Burkholderiales; Comamonadaceae
Description: bacterial SSU rRNA
Rfam family: Bacterial small subunit ribosomal RNA
Source: RNAcentral
AGGCUUUGAUCCUGGCUCAGAUUGAACGCUGGCGGCAUGCUUUACACAUGCAAGUCGAACGGUAACAGGCCGCAAGGUGCUGACGAGUGGCGAACGGGUGAGUAAUGCAUCGGAACGUGCCCAGUCGUGGGGGAUAACGCAGCGAAAGCUGUGCUAAUACCGCAUACGAUCUGUGGAUGAAAGCGGGGGACCGAAAGGCCUCGCGCGAUUGGAGCGGCCGAUGUCAGAUUAGGUAGUUGGUGGGGUAAAGGCUCACCAAGCCGACGAUCUGUAGCUGGUCUGAGAGGACGACCAGCCACACUGGGACUGAGACACGGCCCAGACUCCUACGGGAGGCAGCAGUGGGGAAUUUUGGACAAUGGGCGCAAGCCUGAUCCAGCAAUGCCGCGUGCAGGAAGAAGGCCUUCGGGUUGUAAACUGCUUUUGUACGGAACGAAAAGGUCUGGGUUAACACCCCGGGCUGAUGACGGUACCGUAAGAAUAAGCACCGGCGUA